This 454-nucleotide ribosomal RNA is filed under the name Microphallidae sp. A2-33. RNAcentral describes it as "SSU rRNA". It matches the Rfam family "Eukaryotic small subunit ribosomal RNA", at positions 530 to 915 of the family's 1831-position model. Lineage: Eukaryota; Metazoa; Platyhelminthes; Trematoda; Plagiorchiida; Microphallidae. RNAcentral also lists the same sequence under 1 other name. The record is from RNAcentral.
UCCUUUAACGAGGAACAACUGGAGGGCAAGUCUGGUGCCAGCAGCCGCGGUAACUCCAGCUCCAGAAGCGUAUAUUAAAGUUGUUGCAGUUAAAAAGCUCGUAGUUGGAUCUGGGUCGCAUGGCUACGUGCCGUAGCUUGUAUUCCCGUCUUGGCUACGGUUGGGUCGGGUUUGUGAGUCGGUUUCGUGGCUGUGUAGCCUUUCUGCCGUGUCUGUUUCGACAGGUGCUGAUGGUUAUUCCGUUGGCAUGCUUCCGGAUGCCUUUAACCGGGUGUCGGGGGCGGACGGCACGUUUACUUUGAACAAAUUUGAGUGCUCAAAGCAGGCCUAUGCCUGAAAAUUCUUGCAUGGAAUAAUGGAAUAGGACUUCGGUUCUAUUUUGUUGGUUUUCGGAUCCGAAGUAAUGGUUAAGAGGGACAGACGGGGGCAUUUGUAUGGCGGUGUUAGAGGUGAA